Molecule: ribosomal RNA, 596 nt
Rfam family: 5.8S ribosomal RNA (bases 37-190)
UUAUUGGGACUUAACUUGGCCCUUUAAAAACUAUACAACUUUCAGCAACGGAUCUCUUGGCUCUCGCAUCGAUGAAGAACGCAGCGAAAUGCGAUAAGUAAUGUGAAUUGCAGAAUUCAGUGAAUCAUCGAAUCUUUGAACGCACCUUGCGCCUCUUGGUAUUCCGAGAGGCAUGCCUGUUUGAGUGUCAUUAAAUUCUCAACCUCAAAAGCUUUUUGUUCUUUGAGGAUUGGAUAUGAGGGCUGCUGGCUUUUAAUAAGAGUCGGCUUCCUUGAAAUGCAUUAGUGGAAACCGCUUGUGGACCGCAUUGGUGUGAUAAUUAUCUACGCCAUUGAUUCGUUGUCUACGUCGAAUGUUACACUUUGCUUGUAGCACUUCGGUUUGGAGGGUUUGCGAAGUUGUAAUGACUUUUGCUCUCUCUGUUGAGGUAUCUGCUUCAAACCGUCCCAAGUUAUUGGACAAUUAUUGAUUACUUUGACCUCAAAUCAGGUAGGACUACCCGCUGAACUUAAGCAUAUCAAUAAGCGGAGGAAAAGAAACUAACAAGGAUUCCCCUAGUAACUGCGAGUGAAGAGGGAAAAGCUCAAAUUUAAAAU